This 506-nucleotide ribosomal RNA is filed under the name uncultured Lachnospiraceae bacterium. RNAcentral's name for it is "partial 16S ribosomal RNA". The record is from RNAcentral. Lineage: Bacteria; Bacillati; Bacillota; Clostridia; Lachnospirales; Lachnospiraceae.
CACGUAGUUAGCCGGGGCUUCUUAGUCAGGUACCGUCAUCUUCUUCCCUGCUGAUAGAGCUUUACAUACCGAAAUACUUCUUCACUCACGCGGCGUCGCUGCAUCAGGGUUUCCCCCAUUGUGCAAUAUUCCCCACUGCUGCCCCCCGUAGGAGUUUGGGCCGUGUCUCAGUCCCAAUGUGGCCGGUCACUCUCUCAAGCCGGCUACUGAUCGCUGCCUUGGUAGGCCGUUACCCUGCCAACUAGCUAAUCAGACGCGGGCCCAUCCUGUACCACCGGAGUUUUUCACACCGUGCCAUGCGGCACUGUGCGCUUAUGCGGUAUUAGCACCCAUUUCUGGGUGUUAUCCCCCGGUACAGGGCAGGUUGCCCACGCGUUACUCACCCGUCCGCCACUCAGUCACUACCCCUCUUCCGCCCGGAGGCUUCCGUGGUGUAUGCUUCGUUCGACUUGCAUGUGUUAGGCACGCCGCAGCGUUCAUCCUGACGCCAGGAUCGAAACUCUACG